Molecule: long non-coding RNA, 4168 nt
Filed under: Piliocolobus tephrosceles (Ugandan red Colobus)
Lineage: Eukaryota; Metazoa; Chordata; Mammalia; Primates; Cercopithecidae
Description: lncRNA (ENSPTEG00000001804.1)
Source: RNAcentral
UAUACAUAUAUACAUAUAUACAUAUAUCAAAUAUGUAUAUUGUAUUUUAACCAAAAUUUAACAAUUUUGACUUACAAACGUUUCAAAAAAUAAAUUACUGACUCUUAAGACACUUCAAUUAGUGCCUUUUGGUAGUUUAGCUACACAUAUAUAUAUAUAUGUACCAUAGUUUCUUUUUCUGUUUUUGUUAUAUUGAAAUAACUUUAUCGUUUUCAAAUGUUUUAGUAAUACCCUUUAAGGAUAUGUUUUUAUUAACAAGGGAAUAUAUAUAUAAUUAUUUGUUAUAAAUACUAUGAAUGACUUAACUAAAUUUUUUUUUUUUUUUUUUAAUUAUUUAAUGUGAUAUUAUUUUAUUCCUAUCGAGAAUAAAACUCUAAACACAUACAUACGUAUACGUACUCAUAUGUACAUAUAUAUAUAUAUAUAUAUAUGUAUAUACAUAUGCAUACACGGGUGUGCAAGACGCGUGUACUCGCUAUGUAAUGAACACACGAACAUCAUUUUUAUAGAAUACUAGAAAAAUGAAAAACUCAAAUAUAAAUAGUAAAAGAAUUGAAAGUGAAAGCACAAAUGCUAAUAAAGAAAAUAAUAAAAGUAAUGCAAGUUCAUUUAUAAAUCGUUCUUGUAUAAUAUGGAUUGAAAAAGAAAGGUUAGACUCUGUUAUAAGGAUUCCAUUAUAUACAGAUUUGUCAAAAUAUAUUGACUUAGAUUUAAUUAAACAUUCAACAAAGGAAACAAAUAAAAAUGAACAAGUUUCGAAUAUUUUUAUUCUUUUUGAUGAUAUCAGUUGUAAUAUAGCUGUUGAUAUAUCGCCAAUCUAUAAAACACAAACAAACAAAAUACCAUUGUUAGUAUUUGAACAGUACUAUUUUUGGAGCUUACAUUUUAUAUUUGAAAAGAGUGUACUAAAAAGACAGAAAAUAAAAACAACAAAAGGUAGUAACAUAAAGGCUUGCAUAGAAAAACAUAACUCUUAUUAUGAUAAUAUUUACAUGUACACUUCUAUUUAUAAUAGCGCAUACAGCAAGUAUGAAGAAAAAAGUAACAGCUCUCUUAACAAUAAUGGAUUUUCUAAAAAAAACAGAAAUAACAAUAUAAAUAAAAAGCUGUUAACAUCUUCUUUUAACAAAUGCAUAAAACGUAAGUGCCCGAACGAAAUAACAAAAAAAAGUGGAAAAUGUAGCACAAGUAUUGGUGCACAGGGUGGAUAUACAAGUCCAAACUCAAAUACUAUAUGCAACGGUACUUUUUGUUCAAUUGCAGAACCUGAAUGGUAUCGCUUAAAAAUAAAAAUCGAAAAUAUUAAAAAAGAUAAAAAAAAAAAAAAGUUUUAUAAUUAUUUUAAUUUAAAUAGUUAUAAUAGUAUAAACUCUGAUAAACAAGACUUCAAAACUGAUUUGCAUAAUGAUAAUAAUGAUAAUAAUAAUAAUGAUAAUAAUAAUAAUAAUAAUAAUAAUGAUAAUGAUAAUGAUAAUAAUAAUAAUAAUAAUAAUCAUACAUGCAUAAGUAGAUGUAUAGUGAAUGCAGGGGAAAAACAAAUGAGCACACAUGGUAUGAGUUUAAGUAAUACUACUGCCUUUGUUAGUGAUACUACUUGUUUUGAUGGUGAUACCACUGCUUCUGUUGGUGGUAUUACUAAUUAUAAUAUAAAUACCACUUUAUGCAACGGUUGUACUACUGUAUCUAUUAGUGGUCAUAACAAUCGAAAGCGAAAAAGAAAAGUCAGUUGCAGUUGCAGUUGCAGUUGCAUGCAUAAAUCCUCUCCCAAUGAAAUUAUAUCACAUAUUAAAAAAAAAGAAGAACCCGCAAAACUAAAAAAUAAUGUAAUCACAAUAGAUGACAAUGCAACUAAUGACAAUCACAUGACAACUGAAUUAGUUUCAAAAUAUAAUAACGAGUGUGUAUCACUUUAUAAUAAAGUAGUAACAAAUCAUAUAGACGUUUUAAGCAUGCGUGAGUUAAGCCUAACUGAAAAAAAAAAAAAAAAUAAUAAUAAUAAUAAUAACAAUAAUAAUAAUUAUAAUAAUAAUAACAAUAAUAAUAAUAAUAACAAUAAUAAUAAUAAUAACAAUAAUAAUAAUAAUAAUAAUAACAAUAAUAACAAUAAUAAUAAUAAUAAUAAUAACAAUAAUAAUAAUAAUAACAAUAAUAAUAAUAAUAAUAAUAAUAAUACAAAUUUUACAGACAAAUGCAAAAUGAAAAACGAAAUACAACUACUACUACUACCAAUGAAUAACGACAUAAACAAAUGCACUAAUAGCACUGAUAACAAACACAAGAAAAAAGAUAUGAUGUUCGAUAUUCCAUUAUACGAAAGUCAUACAUCGAAUAAUAACGAAAACAUACAAAACUGCUCCCAUUUUAACAUGUACAUAAAUGAUAUGCUAAAAAGUAUAAUGAACAAAGAAAACAAAUCACAAUUAAAUGCAGACGUUACAAGUAUAAAAAGGAUAGAAGCUUUUUAUAAAAGAAAUUAUAAAAUUUUUAUUAUAAAUGAUCAUAAUAAAGAAUUAUUAUUUAAUAAAAAAAAAUCACCUAAAGACAAUAAUAGUUUAUAUGUUUUUUUAGAUUCCUAUGUAAAAAGAGAUAAUGAAUGGAAAAACAUAACAGUCGAAAAAGAAGAUGAUGAAGAAAAACACGAAUAUAAGGACGAAGAAAAAAAUCAACAAAUAAAUAGCUAUGAUAGUUUAUUCAACCAGUUCGAACAAGUAUUACUAAUGUGGGAUGUAACAUUAAAUAGUAUAAACAAACAAAAAAAAUGUAACUCACAUCAAAAAAAAAUACAUAAUAAUAUAGAUACGGAAUAUUUAAAAGGAACUGGAAAAAAUGAAGACAAGUACAGUGACUCGUGUACAAAUUUCACAGAUUAUAAAAAAAAUAUUCAUGCAGGAAAAACACAGUUAAACGGGCUAAGCGAGGAACGUUGUCUAACCGAUUUAACUGGUGUAAAAGGUACAACCGAUCUAAUCGACGGAAAUUGUCCUACCGAACCACCCGAUGCAAUAUUUCAAGUGAGGAACUCAAAAUAUAUACAAUUUUUAAAAGAAGGAGAUCACAUAUAUAUAAUGUUUGACGAAGACAUGUAUGACGAAAUAAUAGUGUUGCAAAAAAAAAAAAUUAUACAAAUUUUAAUUUAUUUAUUAAGUAUUCAAAAAAUAAUAAAAUUAAUUGAUAUUUCGACAUAUGCUCCACCAUUGUUAUGGAAUAUCAUAUUACAUUUUAAAGAGGAUGUUUAUAAUAUUGAAUUGUGUCUAGACAAAAUAAGAGCUAAGUAUUUUUCCAUUAACAGUAAUAAAUGGUUUCGUAGUGACUGUGAUGCGCGUCCUAUUCAUUCUGAUUUUAGUAACAAUAAUAAAAGCUCAACAAAUGGAUUAAAAAAUAUUUGUAACAAAGAAUAUAAAAAAAUAAUAGAACAAAUGGAAAUAAUAGAUUCGGUGUAUUUUUUAGAUAACUUUUUACAAAGUAUAAAUGAAAAAAAGCUAAAACAAAUAAAAAAAGUUCAAAGUUUAAAAUCUUAUAAAAAAUAUGAAUAUGAUAGAAAAAUAAAUCAACUUAAUAAAAAUGAACUUAUUAGCUUAUUCAUAGACAAAAAAAAUGAAAUCAAUAUUUUACCCUUAUGUUAUUUAAAUGAGAAAAAUCGAAAUAUUAUAUACGAGGAAAACAUGAAAAUGAAUAUGUUUGCAUGUAUAAAAAUUGUAUUGGACGAAAUAAAAGGAAGGUGUAUAUAUGCUGUUAGUAAUAUAUAUAAAUUUGAUUUUGUUUUUGAAUAUAUAGGUAAAUUAUUAACGCAUGAACAAGCAUUAAAACAAGAACAAAAAUAUAUAAAAACUGAACAAGGUUGUUAUAUGUUUUAUUUCCGAUAUCAAAAUAAAAAGUAUUGUAUAGAUAGUACAGAUGAAAAUAUUGAAGCUGCUAUCAAUAAUCAAAAUAAAAAACACUUUCUUAGGUCAUUUGCUAGGCUUGUUAAUCACUCUAAAAAAAAGCAAACCUAAUAGCCAAAGUGCUACCAGUUUAUGGUAUACCUAGACUCUUUUUUGUUGCUUCAAGAAAUAUAGAAGCAGGCGAAGAGUUGUUAAUUGAUUAUGGUGAGAGAGAUAAAGAUAUAAUUAAAGAUAAUCAAUGGCUUAAAUGUUAGUACCCGUGUAAAACUGCUCAUAUGAUAAUAACU